UGAACGUUCAAAUGUGAAGUGAUAUCACCUCUCCUUUUAUUGAUGAACUUCAAACUAUUACAGAAGAAGAAUUGGUGGGAAUAGGAAGAAGGGGAAAUAAGAAUGCAGGAAAAGUGGGAAAGGAUAGCAGAAGGGAUAUUCCCUCUGUUGCUGGAAUAACAAAUCUUAACCAAUAGAUAGCUAACCUAUUACAUGAUCGUAUCUUUUAUAGAAGCUACUCUAACUAACUUCUUAAAGUAACUAAUGAGGGAUUGACACGUGUAGGUAGCAUCUUCUAGCUCGAUGGAAUCCAGUUUCAGCAAGAACAGCAUGAACCCCAGUGAAGGCGUGAUCGUUGGAAUGCGCCUUCACCUAUUCUUCUGCGACUUCUCUUUUCUUAACUUCGCGUCUUCUUCUUCCUUGUACGGCUAGCUGUUGGUUCUUAAUCAGAUCGCAACUUUUCUUGACAUCUUCCUCCUAUUGACAUGCCUUCCCUUGUCUUGCCUUCACACCUUCUACUACUGAGCUACUGACUUCAUCACAAUUUCUUCCACCUUUCCCUUGGCCCCUUUUCUUCUUCUUUUUCCUACGAAACCCUCUUUUCUAUUUUUUCCUCGCCUCCCUUUUGGUUUCUUACCCGCAGCCUUUUCUUCAUCAGCCUCUCUCUGCUGCCCUAAACUUCCCUCACUCUCCCUCUUUUGUUCCAGAUCCUUCUCCUCCAGUUGCCCGCAGCUUUUUCUUUUGCUUCUAUCCUCCUUCCUCC
This 742-nucleotide long non-coding RNA is filed under the name Coffea arabica (coffee). RNAcentral describes it as "long non-coding RNA (CARA_LNC004255)". Lineage: Eukaryota; Viridiplantae; Streptophyta; Magnoliopsida; Gentianales; Rubiaceae. The record is from RNAcentral.